AUGUCCUUCAUCUUCCUAUUUAGUGCCUAUUAGCCUAUACACUUGUAGCAUGCAUAGUUUUAUUACGUGAUUGACAUUACGCAGUGCUACGUGAUAAGCAUGCGUAUAAUUGCGUAUCCAUUAAGAAGAAUGAAUAGAGUUAUCAACCAAGUUAAAUCCAGAGUUCUGAAUAGUACGUAAACAGAAAUAGGGAAAUCACCACUAUGAAUAAAAAAGAGGAUCAUUUCGAAAAAAAAAUUUGUAAACGCCAUUUUUAUGUGCGAUGAAAAACAUUAAACGCUACAGUCCCAUACUAGCAUGCAGGUCUUCAGGCGGGUCACGAAUGCCGGCUUGUUACGCUAAUUUUGCUUGGCUGUAUGGCAGAUUCGAUCAAAGUAUCAUGUCCUUCGAUCUUCACAAUGUUAUAGGGUACUACUUGGUAAAGCAGUAACGAUGACCUUUCAGCUGCGAAAUAGCUGAUUCAAUCAAAGAUGGGUCACCCGUAUACCAUCCGCAUCUUUAUUUGCUUUCUUCCUCUGCGCUUAGUUUUCACAAGAACUUCUUCACCUUAUUUGACUUGCUUUUUAGAGCAGCAGCAGCAUCGCUGUUUACGCCCAGUGGUCAGUGUGUCUUGUCGGCUAAAAUAAUUGAGAGAAAGCGAUACGUCAACACAUAUUGGGUGUUAUCAAUUUUGUCGAGUUUUCGGUGUUUCACGUUGGCACUCCGGUUGCAGUUUGGCUGGGCGCUAUUCGUCGGUGGUCGAUGCGUUCAUGAUGAACAUCCAAGGGCAUUGAUCCGGUGGGAGAUGAAUAAGGGGGCGUUAUUGACGUAGUCGAUGUCGGUGGGUUUCGCUGAUGUGUGGGGAGGGACGCGGUGUCUGAUCUGCGCCAUCCCGCAAAUCUAAACGAUAGCCCCUGUUUGUUUUCAACAAGGAAAAGUAUAACAAACAUUUAAAGCAUACGAUCAAGUUUCUCGUUGUCUUAGGGGGAUAGGGUUACACGUCGAUCCCAAUUUCUCAGAACUUCCUGUGUUUUUCCACGAAACGCAGUUGCUGAAUGUGCUAACGAAGAGACGGGGAAAACCAACUCUGCUGAAUCGCCAUUCCUCUCAGCGCUUUCUAUACACGGACGUACUUUCUCCAUCUGCUGCAGUUUCCCUAGUGAAAAAAAAAUGCAUUUUGAGAAGAAGGAUUUCGCUCGAGCGCGUGUACAGACUAUGGCAUACGUUCUCACACACUUGUGUACCAUCGUUUAAGGAUUUCUAGGUUUUUUGUGUACCAAGUUCUCUCAUUUUUUUAGAGAAAAAAAAAACAAUGAAUUACACGUUGUUACGUUGUU
This is a long non-coding RNA of Daphnia magna, 1316 nucleotides long. RefSeq lists it as uncharacterized. Lineage: Eukaryota; Metazoa; Arthropoda; Branchiopoda; Diplostraca; Daphniidae. The record is from RefSeq and is a predicted model, not a curated record. The transcript has 2 exons.